GCCCAUUUAGUGACCUGGCUCAAAUACUCAUAUAAUGGGCCCAAAAGUAUUGGGCCCACUUAGGAUUGGGCCUGAAUAUUACGGGCUAUCUCUCGGACUUAGAGUAGUAGCAUAAGAUCAUAUUUUAGGUUCGAUGUAUUAUACUAGAGACCUAGGAUCUAGAGCUUUUUUAUAGGCUCGAUCUAAGUAAUCAUCAGAAAGGCCCGUAAAGAUCUCUAUGGCUUUCUUAAUAAAGGCCUUAAGGGCUAGCUAGUGCUUGUGUCUCAUAAUGGCCUGACAAUAUAUACAUAUUAUGAUAUGUAACUUAUAUGUUAUGGUGUGAAGGUGUUGUUACCUAUUUCGUCUCAUUCUGAGCGAAUUAGAAAACUCAGGAUCUCAGAAAACUCAUUUGGUUGGGGUAGAGGGUGUGCCGCCAUGCUUUCUUGGGCAAGGCCACGAUGUGUGCAUAGACAUGCUAUUGGUGUUAGGCUAGUUGGAAAGAUGUGCAUUGAAGGAAGCAUAGAGAGUAUCGCGGGUCCAGAUGCCUUAACCUUCAAUGAUUUUUACCACCAUCACACCACCAUUUGAAGAAGAUAAAACUGGAUAGAGGUGUAGCACUAAACUCUGGUAGAAGGGUAUAUCACUAGGCUACAAUAGGGGUAUAGCAUUGGGUCUAUAGUAGAAAUUCUAAGUAACAUAUAUUCCUAGGAUAAAAGAUUAAGAUCGAUAUAAAGAUAAAGAUAAAUUGAUUGGAUAGAUUUUCAAAAGAUCCAUUUAAGAGAGUAUAAUUCCAUUAUUUAUACUAAUACAUAAUAAUAAAUGCCUCAAACAUAAUAAUUUUCCAUUUCGAUGGUUACUUUUUACAUCUGGUGUCCACUCCUGAUGGUUUUGGUAAUUACUGGCAACCAUCUUCCCACUACACACGUAUAUAAGUAUGAUUAUUUUGUAACUACCAGACCGAUAGUUAUGUCAUAUCUAUCUUUAACUUAUCUUGACAUAGCUUAUGGUGGUUGUCUCCCCUCAUUCAGCCUGCAAUAUAUAAUUAUCUCGAUCCUUUAUCAGCCAUUUUUAAGACCAAAACUUUAUCUUGUAGCCUUCUCAUCUACAUUCUGGCCGAAUUAUAUUUGUUUGUCCUACGUCUCCACCCU
Molecule: long non-coding RNA, 1127 nt
Filed under: Phoenix dactylifera (date palm)
Lineage: Eukaryota; Viridiplantae; Streptophyta; Magnoliopsida; Arecales; Arecaceae
Description: long non-coding RNA (PDAC_LNC005270)
Source: RNAcentral